RNAcentral lists this ribosomal RNA (352 nucleotides) under uncultured bacterium. RNAcentral's name for it is "bacterial SSU rRNA". It matches the Rfam family "Bacterial small subunit ribosomal RNA", at positions 8 to 350 of the family's 1533-position model. The record is from RNAcentral.
AGAGUUUGAUCAUGGCUCAGGAUGAACGCUAGCUACAGGCUUAACACAUGCAAGUCGAGGGGAAACGACAUCGAAAGCUUGCUUUUGAUGGGCGUCGACCGGCGCACGGGUGAGUAACGCGUAUCCAACCUGCCCACCACUUGGGGAUAACCUUGCGAAAGUAAGACUAAUACCCAAUGACGUCUCUAGAAGACAUCUGAAGGAGAUUAAAGAUUUAUCGGUGGUGGAUGGGGAUGCGUCUGAUUAGCUUGUUGCGGGUAACGGCCACAAGGCGACGAUCAGUAGGGGUUCUGGAGAGGAAGGUCCCCCACGAUUGGAACUGGAGACACGGUCCAAACUCCUACGGGAGGCA